Molecule: ribosomal RNA, 671 nt
Filed under: Pseudovibrio sp.
Lineage: Bacteria; Pseudomonadati; Pseudomonadota; Alphaproteobacteria; Hyphomicrobiales; Stappiaceae
Description: bacterial SSU rRNA
Rfam family: Bacterial small subunit ribosomal RNA
Source: RNAcentral
CAGAACGAACGCUGGCGGCAGGCCUAMCACAUGCAAGUCGAACGGAUCCUUCGGGAUUAGUGGCAGACGGGUGAGUAACGCGUGGGAAGCUACCUUGUGGUAGGGAACAACAGUUGGAAACGACUGCUAAUACCCCUAUGAGCCCUAUGGGGGAAAGAUUUAUCGCCAUGAGAUGUGCCCGCGUUAGAUUAGCUAGUUGGUAAGGUAAUGGCUUACCAAGGCGACGAUCUAUAGCUGGUCUGAGAGGAUGAUCAGCCACACUGGGACUGAGACACGGCCCAGACUCCUACGGGAGGCAGCAGUGGGGAAUAUUGGACAAUGGGGGCAACCCUGAUCCAGCCAUGCCGCGUGAGUGAUGACGGCCUUAGGGUUGUAAAGCUCUUUCAGCAGUGAAGAUAAUGACAUUAACUGCAGAAGAAGCCCCGGCUAACUUCGUGCCAGCAGCCGCGGUAAUACGAAGGGGGCUAGCGUUGUUCGGAAUCACUGGGCGUAAAGCGUACGUAGGCGGACUGAUCAGUCAGGGGUGAAAUCCCGGGGCUCAACCCCGGAACUGCCUUUGAUACUGUCAGUCUUGAGAUCGAGAGAGGUGAGUGGAACUCCGAGUGUAGAGGUGAAAUUMGWAGRUAUUCGGAAGAACACCAGUGGCGAAGGCGGCUCACUGGCUCGAUACU